This 6991-nucleotide long non-coding RNA is filed under the name Sus scrofa (pig). RNAcentral describes it as "lncRNA (ENSSSCG00005000558.1)". The record is from RNAcentral. Lineage: Eukaryota; Metazoa; Chordata; Mammalia; Artiodactyla; Suidae.
GCAGGAGGAAUAUGUUAGGGCGAGUUGAAGACCAGACACUGACUGGGAGCCCUCUCUGGGAAGGGGCGGAGUGCUGGCAGUGCUGUGCCCUGCAAAGCCACGGUGGCUGGAGGCUGUGCUGAGGCUCGGCCCUGUGGUGGGUCUGCAAGGCCUAGCGCAGACCCUGACGUCUGGUUUGCAUCCUCUCAAGGCGGCCUGUGCCAAGCCGCUGGUGCAGGGUGGAGGGAGGCACUGAAGAAGCCUGAAACCAGAAUGGUGAGACGGUGCCAGGAUGCAGGGCCCGGCCACGCUGACAAGCACAGCGGAGCAGAACAAAGAACCAAGCCAUGGUGGCAGAGUGUCACCCCACCCUUGUUUGCGCUCACAGGAGGUGUCCUGUGCUCGUCAGAUAGCGUGGCCCGGAUGCACGGAAAUAACAGAACUCGGCUCCCAGCUCCCCGGCCCCAUGUGUAGUGAACUUAAGGCUGAGGUCCAGCCAGGCCGGUGCCCUGGUAAAAGGAGCAGGGCCCGCCCCCACCCAUCAUCAGGCAUCUUUGUGCAAAGUGGGAAAAGGCGCCCCUUCCUCUGGGCAGCGGAACCCCACGCCCACCCUCGUUCCUGGGUCAAGCACCCCCGGUACACAUCCGGGUGCACCUCUGUGUCCCAGCCAGGUGGCUUUUUCCUCCACUUUUGGCUCCUCCCGGUGAACAAAGGCUGUGCCUAAGCCGUCUUGGCACCGGCUCUCCAGCCACUUAGAGAAGCAGGUCCGCUUCCUCGGCGCCACAUCAAAGGCAGGCCCCGGGGGAAAGCUGCAGCCCCGGGAACCUGAGGGAUCACGGGGGCCCCCAAAUCUCCAGGUUAAACCCAAGACUGAGAACCCCACUUUCCAGAUGCUUCGAGUUGAGUUUUUCAAAGCAAACCAGCUCCCGGCUAGAGAGUGGCUUUGUCCGGCUUUGGUUUUCUGCUGAUUCUGGAAAGCGAGGCAGCCAGGCCCCGGGGUCCCCACCCCUCGGGGCGCUCUGGGUCCCUCUCGGCCGGGACCGGGAGCACCUCUCUCCUCUCUCUCCUCUCUCCUCGACAGAGUUCAGAAGGAACAGCUGGCGGCCAUCUUCAAGCUCAUGAAGGACAACGAGGCGACCUUCGGGGAGAUGUCGGCCGGCGACGUGCAGGAGCAGCUCAGGCUCUACGACAUGUAGGCCGCCUCCCGCGCCGGCCCGCGCUCCGCUCCCGCAGACCCUGGCAGGCGUCCCUUGCUCCCACUCACCGAGAUGCAGAGGUACUUCCCGACCGAGCUGCUCCGUUCUUGCAGCUUCUCCACCUGCCACCUGGGUGCCCCCCCCCAAGGCCGUGCCCUGGCCGAGCCCUUCCACGCAGACCCCGGGCAGGCGGCGGCUCCAAGGCCCAGCCCCGCAGCACGCGGUGUGGAAAGGAUUCGGGGUGCUGUGGGGUCCAGUCUAAGAACACUACACCUUGUUCUUUGAAGGAUCUCUGGACGUUUGUGACUGUACAGAAGCCAGCAGUGGGGGAGCCUUCUUUUAGCCACAAGCCUGAUUCAAGGACUUUGCGUCCCAGAACGAAGCAGUGGUAUCUAAGAGUUGCUCUGCUUUAAGCAUGAGAUUUACUUCACAUAUAAUUCAGGUUUAUACGAGUGUUGAUAAUAAACCUAGGAUGGCGCUAGACACUGUCAAUAGACAUAAAAUACGCGACACAGUCCCUGCCCUGACAGGGAUUAAAGUCCUCUGGAGAAGACAGGCACGUGCGCAGGAAAAGAGGGCCCCGCCGCACAGCUUUCGCUAAAAUGCCAAGUGACCUCACGGGGAGUGUCUGGGAUACCUCAGCACUUCGAUAAAGUUCUGUGAGUCAGUGAAGGCAUGAUGACAGAAAUAAGAGUGGUUCUUCCGUGCUGCCCAGGUUCUGUUUCUUUUUUUUUAUCUUUUGGCCAUGCCUGCAGCAUGCAUGAGUUCCUGGUCCAGGGAUCAAACCCCAACCACAGCAAUGAUGAUGAUGCCAGGUUCUCAAUCAACCUAACCAGCCGAGCUCCCCAGGUUCUGAUUCUUUUUUUUUUUUUUUCUUUUUAGGGCCGCACCCGUGGCAUAUGGAGGUUCCCAGGCUCGGGGUCGAAUGGGAGCUGUAGCUGCCGGCCUCUACCACAGCCACAGCCACACAAGUUCCGAGCUGCAUCUGCGACCUGCACCACAGCUCACAGCAACACCAGACCCUUGACCCACUGAUUGAGGCCAGGGAUCAAACCCUGGUCUUCAUGGAUGCCAGUCAGGUUGGUUAUCGCUGAGCCACAAUGGGAACUCCCCCAGGUCCUAUUCUGAUCACCCCACUGACAGAAAAAUACCAUAGCCAACCGAGUUAAGGAGGGUAUGCUAAAGGGAUAACCUAAGAAAGUUCCUGAAAGUACUUAUUUGCUGAAAUGAAACUAAACACACUAAAAAGCAGCAGUGGCAUUUUACAUACCUCAAGCUAACAACUGCCAUGGGGGGGCGGGGCAGUGAACCUUCUUUUAGCAUCUCUUGCUUGUUUGGGUUUUCCCAGGCACCCUCCCUGCUCUGUCCCUGAAACUGCUUUUGCUUCUUUCUGCCAGUCCCACAGAGAGAGGGUCUGCUCUCUGCGGUUAUAUCCAAAUGUCAGGGGGUUUUAAAAAAUCUUUGUCACUGCUUUUUAAAAAUGUUAUGAUUUAAGUAUCAUUGGUUCCUUCUUGAAUCCUGGGACAACCCCCCCACCCCCACCCCGGGCCCCCGGGCCGGUUGCUUUUAUCUCCCUGCCCCCCAUGUGUGAGUCAGCAGAACUUACCUCGCCCUGCAGCCGUUAUUUCUUUCCUCACCUCCUUUUUCCAGUCCUUCUCUGAUUACACCAAACAAAUAAGAAUGACUUGUGGGUACUUGAGUUAAAAUUCUCAUGGUCAUGGGAAAAAUCAUCAGAAGGAAACUUUCUUGGUUCAGCUACGAUGUUCCACCCACAAAGAACUGCAAACUCAUUUGUCUUAAACAAGAGGAGAACUGGGUCACAGGAGGAGUCCAAAGGCAGAACAGCUGCAGGUCCAGAAGAGUCAGGGCCCAAGUUGCAAUUCUUAGCUUGGUCUUCCUUGAACUGUGGACUUUUGUCACAGACUAGCUCUCCUCAUGGUUCCAAGAAGGCUGCAGGAGUUCAGGUGUCAUAUCCAGAAGCAGAAAAAGGGCCAUCUCAUGCUUAUGUCCUUAGGAAUGGGGGAACCAUUUCAGGUGCACCCCCCAUUCUGGGUCCCAAUUGGCCAAGAUGCCAUGUGUCCACACCCUCACCAAUCCCUAGCAAGGAGAUGGGGCCACCAUGUCUGGCUGAGACACCUGGGGCUGGGGCCAGCAUCUCCUGAGCACAAAGCCACCCAGAGGAGAGGGUACCUGGGGGACCUCAUUGGGGCUCUGCGAGAAAGGGGUGGGAGGGAUGGGUACUGGGUGGACAGGACUAUUCUGUCACUUAGCGGGGACUUGGAUAUCAGUGUCUGAGGAGCAUACCUGACGCUCCUCCUGGGUGGUGGCUCUGUUGCCCAGAUGCUGGGCCUCUGAUGGUUCCCAGAAGCACUACUAGCUUGCUACAGCUGCUGGGUGGCUCUGAUUUCUAGAUUAAUCUCAGCAGUGAGUGAUGGCUUGAAACAAGAUUUUAAUUUCAUGCUAGAGAACUGAACCUGAGCAGGAAGGGAAUCGAGGUAAUGCCAGGGAAAGCUCACCAAAUUCAGGAGCCUCGGUGAAAGCCAAAAUACUAACCCCGUCUGCAGCACAACUUCACUUGUUAAUUAACUGCUCAUUUCACUCACUCUGAGGAACCACGCACAAGGGAAAGGAAAAACACGCGCCUGCAGAUUUGACCAAUCCCUUUCCACAGCCGCUAUCCCUUCCCGGAGUCUCAGAGGUUUGAGCACCUGCCAAUCUACCGCGAGGGCGGAGCUCUUGAUUGCUAUUGGGCACUAACGUCCUCCCAUAGCUUCCCCCAGCCCUCCAGCCCUCCUCGCUCCCAGGAGGGAAGUCCCGGCUGUCGGUGGCGUCCAACCAACAGUAACCGACAAAUGGCUUUGUCCAAUAAGGAGCGCGGAGUGGCCCGUCCCGCCCACAAGAGGCGUCUCCUCGCCGCUGCCGAGGCCGGAGAGGGCUGACCGGAGGCUCAGGCUGCGGUCGGGUGCCCCCCCCCCUCACCCCACCCCCGGGGCAAGCCCCCCGGGGCUCAAGUCCGGAGAACCGUCCCGCACCGAGUUGCCAGCCGCGUCCCCUGCUGGCGUCUUGGUUCCCGCAGCUUAGCAAACAGCAAAACCUGAGCCUCGCGCCGUGCUAGGCCCACGACACAAAAAGGACUCCUAGCCGGUCCCUGCACCCCAGGAGCCCGCCAUCUCCACCUUCCCCCAGCACUCCCCGAGGCUGCCCGUAGGCUCCCAGACCCCUGUCCUGCUGCCGGAAUCGCACACCCAGCCCCCACCCUUGUUUUGCACCGCGCCCAGGACGAAAUCCAGCAGAUCCUUCUGAGCAGGCAACUGCGCGCACCCAUGUUCUCACCACGGUGUCUUUGGUAUUGGGCUGGCCUUGGCGGAGGCGCCAGCGCCACCGAAAGCCUCACCUCUGCUUGCCCUUUCACACCACGCCGCAGGCACUCAGGCUGAGCUUUCCUGAGGCUGCAUUGAGUUAAGGUGGACUCCCACCCGGCCUGAGUGACCAAGUAGUUUCCAUUCCCACUCCCAAAUCCACCCCGCCGCUGCAGGUCCCACCAGCACCGAAGCUUUGGGCCUGCCGGCAGCCUGGGUCCUCUGCGAGUGAAAAAGAGAGCCAGGCUGGGUCGUCAGGCGUCACUGAACUGUUAGGUAACCAUGAGUCCGCAAUCAGAGUUUUUUGUAAAUUUCAGUUUUCCUCACCUCUUCAUGUACUCUUUCCUGAGCGCUCCAAAAGGGCACAGGUUUUAUUGACAGGCUGUCAGUCAUUUAGCUUCUUCAAAGGUUGAUCAUAUUCACCUCGGAACUGUGCUAGGUGGCGUCUUGGGGUCUCUUGUAAUCAGCUUCAAUGAUACUGCAAGCUCAGUUGCAGAAGGAGGCAGCUGGCAAGGGGAAUCAAAUUAAGAAAAUUGUUCCAGGAAGAAAAGGUUUAAUGAAGGAAAAGGGAGCAAGAGGGCAAAGCACAUAGGAUUCAAAUUUGAAUACCGAGUGGUGUGCACUGGCACAUUGAUCCUUUCAGGUAUUUAUCAAGCAUUUAUUAAGCCUGUCUUCAAGCAAAAACGCUCUGCUAGAUGAUGUAGUACAAAUGACUAGGUGAUAUGCAAGGCGAGAGGAAGGCUUGUCAACUUUGCUUUUUUUUUUUGCUUUUUAGGGCCGCACUUGUGGCACACGGAAGUUCUCAGACUAGGGGUCAAAUCGGAGCUGUAGCUGCCACAGCCACAGCAAUGCCAGAUUCAAGCCAUGUCUGUGACCUACACCACAGCUCAUAGCAAUGCUGGAUCCUUAACUCACUGAGCCAGACCAGGGAUCAAACCCUCAUCCUCGUGGGUACUAGUCAGGUCCACUACCACUGAGCCACGAUGGGAACUCCUCAUUAACUUUUUGGAGCCCCUGCUAAAUGAAAGGUGGAAACAACCCAAACAUCCAUCCGCUGAUGAAUGGACCCAUAAAAUGUGGUAAAUCCACUACGUGCCUUGCCAGCAUCCUCUUGCGAACCUUCAGUACACCUGUGUGAGGCACAUAAUGUCCUUUUACAGAAGAAAGCAAGAUUCAAAAAAUAUUGAGGAUCUAAUUUUACAAGAGUAAAGGAUCUUAACAGACUUUUCUCCAAAAAAGACAUAGACAUGGCCGUAAGCACACGAAAAGAUGCUCAGCAGGCAAAUCAAACCCACAUGCAAACACCACUUCAAGACCACCGGAAUGGCCGUAAUAAGAGACAGACAGUGACAAGUGUUAUGGCGAGAAUGUGGGACAGUUGGAACUGCCCCACACUCUUGAUGGGAAGGUACAGUGGUGCAGCUGCUUUGGAAAACAGGGGCGGGUGCUCCAAAUAUUGAACAAAGAAUCACCAUGUGGCUCAACAGUUCUACUCCUAGGUAUAUACCUGAGUGAAAUGAACACUAACCCCAAAAAAGAAAUGGUAAUUAUACGACGUGACAGAGGCGUUCGCUAAGGCAUGGUGGAGAUGACUCUGCAACAUAGGUGUGUUCAAUCAGCCCGCUGUACACCUUAAACAUACACAAUGUUAUAUGUCAACCAUAACUCAGGAAAGCUGGAGAAAAACAGGAGUGCCCUGGUGGCUCAGUUGGUUAAGGACCUGGUGUUGUCAUGGCUGUGGUUCGGGUCAUAUUUGUGAUUUAAGUUCAAUCCCUGGCCCGGAAACUUUUGCAUGCCUCAAGUGCAGCCAAAAAAAAAAAAAAAGCUGGAGAAAAACAACAUGUGUCCACAGAAAAACAUGUAAAUAAAUGUUCCUGGCAAUACGAUUGGUAAAAGCUGAAAGACGGAAACACCUGACACAUCCAUCGACGGGUGAAUAUUUUUCAGGAAUGAAGAGGAAUGAAGGAAUGAAGUAGGUAUAUGCUACAGCCCAGAUGAACCUUCAAAACAUUAUACUAGGUGAAAAAAGCCGGACACGAAGGACCACACGUUGUUUCUUUCCAUUUAUAUGUAAUGUCCUGAGUAGGCAAAUUUAUAGACACAGAAAGUAGAUGAGUGGCUGCCGAGGGCUGGAGGUUGGGUGGAGACGGGGGAAGAGGAGGGACGGCUAAUGGGUACAGGGCGUUUGCGGAAGGGAUGAAAGCAUAUUCAGAAUUGAUUGUGGUGAUGUGUGCGCACAAUUCGGCGAAUGUACUAAAAGCCGCUGGAUUGUCUGCUUUAAAUAGAUGAGUGGUCCCUGGUGGCCCAGCAGUUAAGGAUCCAGCAUUGUCACUGUCCGUGGCUUGGGCUUGAUCCUGGGCCCGGGAACUUUCGCAUGCCAUGGGUGAAGCCAAAAAAAAAAGCCCUUAAAUCAAUGAAUUGUAUGUGAAUUAUACUUCAAUAAAGCAGAUAUAGUUU